This 393-nucleotide ribosomal RNA is filed under the name uncultured Alphaproteobacteria bacterium. RNAcentral describes it as "bacterial SSU rRNA". It matches the Rfam family "Bacterial small subunit ribosomal RNA", at positions 9 to 432 of the family's 1533-position model. The record is from RNAcentral. Lineage: Bacteria; Pseudomonadati; Pseudomonadota; Alphaproteobacteria.
GAGUUUGAUCUUGGCUCAGAACGAACGCUGGCGGCAGGCUUAACACAUGCAAGUCGAACGCCCCGCAAGGGGAGUGGCGCACGGGUGAGUAACGCGUGGGAAUAUGCCCUUCGGUUCGGAAUAACACAGGGAAACUUGUGCUAAUACCGGAUACGAUCUACGGAUGAAAGAUUUAUCGCCGAGGGAGUAGCCCGCGUAGGAUUAGCUAGUUGGUGAGGUAAUGGCUCACCAAGGCGACGAUCCUUAGCUGGUCUGAGAGGAUGAUCAGCCACACUGGGACUGAGACACGGCCCAGACUCCUACGGGAGGCAGCAGUGGGGAAUAUUGGACAAUGGGGGAAACCCUGAUCCAGCCAUGCCGCGUGAGUGAUGAAGGCCUUAGGGUUGUAAAGCU